Long non-coding RNA from Gasterosteus aculeatus aculeatus (three-spined stickleback), 9556 nucleotides. NCBI's taxonomy places the organism in Eukaryota, Metazoa, Chordata, Actinopteri, Perciformes, Gasterosteidae. The record is from Ensembl.
CCAAUCCCCCUGUGAUUGUCACACCCCAACGUAGCCUCAGAGGAACUCCGGCACUGCGUGAUAUCUGUGUGUCGCCUGCAACAAUUGCCUUGGAAUACAUUGUUGAGACAAGCUUGUUAUACUGUAACAAUCCAAGAAGAAAGCGAGUCACCUCCAUCCUUUUCAGAAUCACUCUCCGUGAGGUAUUGCAUGCUGCUCUUUAUGUCAAGAGGACUUAUUUUGAUUCUCACAGAAAAGAGCCAAACAUUACUCAACCGGUGAAGGUGGAUGAUUGUAUUUAUGCACAUUGGGCACACGACCACCAAGUGCAGAUUUUUUUUUUUUUGCCAUCAAAGCAAUAUUGAUAACAGGAAACUCUAUCUGGAAAGCCAACCCCAGCCUUGGUGUCACUACCAUAUUUGUUCUUUCGACGAUUCUGAAAAGUGAUUUUGUGUGUGUGUGCUAGUACAAACACAGCAGAGCUAAGCCCCAACCAGCGCUUAUGAAAGGAAACUAACUGUAAAAGAAUGAUUUCCCACCUGGAUUCAGCCUGGAUAAGCAGUUUGAAAAAGGGAGCAGCGCUUUGUGCACCGUCGACUACAUUACUGAGUCUGCGCGGGCAAGGCCGCAAUACUGCAACAUUCAUUGUCUGAUUCCACUGCACCACUGCUCGACUGCGAAAAAAAGUCUUCAGUAAAGAGUAUGAGAAGUUGUUAAAUCAUGCCAAGUGGAAGAAUAUACAAACUUAGUGAGAGAUUACAGCUGCAGUCACUUCACAUCAGGCGGAUCCACCAGGGAGCUAAUGGAGACAGAAGAAACAGAAGGAGCCGUCUCUUCUCACUCUUAACCAUAGGGGGGGAUUGAUAUGCUGAAAAAAAAAGGAUGGGAAUCACAAAGGAUAAGGCAGAGAGAUGUAGGGCUUCGCUACACAUUGGGCCUGUCAACUUCUGUAGCCAGUUUUUAUAUUUCCUCUCCGUCUUUGGCUCCCUUCAGAUUGGCUAAGAGCUGUUUUCGCACUCCACUGAUCAGUCUGGGGGAGGAUAGAGAUGAGGGAAGGUUUGGAAAAUUCCGAAAUAGUCGACUGAUAAAGGAGAAUGGGAUAUUUAGUAUCCUUACAUGUCAGGUUUCAGUUGUAAAAUACCCUGAAGCGAUCUCUGGAUAGAAAGUUGUUUUAGCAGGUACUGUGGGUGACAUGUCUAAUGGUAUGUUCACAACAAAAGCAAAGCAAAUUAUUUGCAUGAGUAGAUUCCAUGCAAAUUCUGACGCGAACGGUUGCGAAUUUUCAACGGGCAUUGCGAAUGGCGCGGUGCAUAAGACAUGAACAAAGUCGAUGGAGCGAAGCGAAUACUUCGCCUCAUUCGGCAAACUGUCUUGCGAAAGCCAAUCAGCAUUGACAUACUCUGCCUGUCAUCAUCGCCGUCCUGCUGCCAAAGCAUGAAUAUAUUUCAUUAAACUGCCACUCACCAGAGACAGAUAGGUGUUCCACAGCUGAGAUUGAACGCCUGUAGGUGGUGUCCAACCGAGAGAUCCUGGCUCCGAUCCAACCAAACAGGUUAUAAAAACUGGCUACUGGUUAGCCUAAAGUAGUGCUGGAAGCGGGAGUCAUCCAGACGCAGUUCCUGGAGUUGGUCAACUUCACCGGCGACUGCGGGGACAGAUGAUGUCAUAAACCCAAACACAACAGCGUUUGUGGAAUCUCCACCACAAGUACAGAGCACAAAUAUUAGCGGAAGUAAUAACUGUCUUUAUGGAGACAUGCCACGGAGAUAAGCCAUGCCCCUUUUCUGGCACGAAUGAAGGAGAUGCGAAUAGUAGGGCGAGUAAAGCCUUGCUUUUGGUGUGAAUGUACCGUCAUAGUCAGUUUGCUAUCAUUGUUGCAUUAACUGUACUGCUGGCUGCUAAAGUAGGCAAUGAAACUUUUGUGAGCGCCCCACCCCCAAUUUUGAGGUGAAGGCCAGGCCACCAAAGACAGAUUGUUGCUGAUUCAGACCUGCUUCUCUUGGUUUUUUUUUUAAAUAUUGUUUCCACCACAAUGUGAGUGGAGUGGUUGAUCCCCUCCAACCCUGUAUGCAGGUAGAUGGCUGUCCCCAGAUUCAUACCUUUUUUUUAAUCAGUAUUAUUGGUGUCAACACAACUACAAACAAAUGGGAUUUCUUCGGUCAUUCUCCAAAGGAGCAAAUAACAAGCAUUGUUCCUAACAAAUUGUGAGUUAUACAGAGGUUUACUUCAGAGGGUUUGUGAGAAACAGAUGGAACCAGUGUUUUCCAUCAUUUGUAUACUUUCCACCUUCCUCAAUUUAAAAUCUCAGUACUGGUUCAGGUCACAUACAUGCAUCCUGGAUGGAGUAGGUUUCAUUUAGUAAAUUUUUCGAGAAACAUAAGUUAGCACUUAUGAUAUAUUCCUGAGAAACAUGUGGAAUUACUUUUGCAUGUUUACUUCUUACCGUACUGUGACAAUACAGAAAACGGAUUACAUAAAAUGUACACAACCCUGAGCGCAAGAUCCCCCCACAGGUUUGUUCAUGGUGGAGAUAACAAUCCCUUUGAUAUGUGAGGGUUACUUCAUUUUGAGGCAAAUAAAUGCAGUUGCAUUCAUAACUUUAUUCAGAUUCCCAAAUGUUUAAUGUUGCACCCUGAUCAACUAGGGAUAAGCUCCUUAUGAAGAGAUGUACAGUGUAUUAUUAGUUAUUAAGUACACAGAACCAGCAAGUAAAUACUGUACAUCAGUUUUGAUGUAAUCACAACAGAAUGCAGCUGUAGACACAUACACGCAAUUUUAUUUGUAUAGCUCUUUUCAUACACAAGGCAGACUCAAAGUGCUUCACAUUAUAACAUUUCAUACAAUGAGUGAAAUAAAAUGCAGGAAUUACUUAAUAAAAUGUAGAAAUAUAUUACACAGACGGCUUAUACAAGAUUACAAGAUUAUAAAAUAGCAGUGUAAUUUUGAACUCUUUAAUUCCUGCAUUUUGGGUAUAUUAGAGUAGUGGAGGUGAAUUUGUUCAAAGAAUUACCAUCAGCCAAUAACAGUAUGUACUGUAUGUGCUCUCCGUUCAACUAGUCAGCUCUCACGGAGGGACAGCUGGUGGGACCGCUCUAUAUUGAACUGCAUAGAAUCAAAGUUAAUAUGUGUGGCUUUGAGCGACUACUCUACAUUUUCUUGUUUCAUUUAAAUGCAUUCGUAUAAUUUAGUUUUCACAGACAGAUAACCCCAUACAGUAAGGUUCACAACAAUCCAUUGGAUCACAAAUGCCCGAGAUUGGCAGCAUGGUGCAGGGCCUUGCACAGCCCAUUCUAGGAGAGGCUCAAACACUAGAGGACCUUAUUCAUCUCACCAUCCAGUUGGAUGCUCUGAUGUGGCACCACAAGUUUUCGGCACCGGUUCGUCAGUACUUAACUCAUUUCCCUUUUCAGUCUCCAGAUUGACCUCACCACCGUAGUCCAAGCCACCCACACCUAUGUAGUUAGUUAGUAGGGUGGUUCCAUCUGUCUUAGGGGGAGAGGAAGCGGCAAAUCUGUUCAGGAGCCUGCCUGUACUCCAGCGAGCUGAGCCACCGUGUUCCUGUCUGACCAUUGCAACAAAAAAAGUGCUCGCCAGUAAGAGUGGGACUACUGGCGAACAACUGUACAAUUUUCCCUUGUCCCAAGCCUGUGUCACACUUCCAGGUUUGCCUGCAGUCCGAUUGCCUUUCGGUCUUGGUGCUUAUUGACUCUGGAGCGGUUUUUGGGCUCAUCUUUAGCCUUCGCUAAGGAUCCCCUUGGAGGAGUUGGAAUGGAAAUGUCCAGAUGGUCUCCUCACCAACAGUACUCAUCAUACGUGCCCUAUUCCCCAGCUUGUGUCAGGAAACAACCGACAUGAGAUCCGUCUGUACAUCUACCCCAUGCUCCAGAAAGUUGUGGUUCUGGAACAUCCAUGGCUCUGGGACCACAAUCUGGCAAAAAAUAAAAUCCUCUGUGGGAGCCCUACAUAAGUGUUCUCCAGUCCGGCAUGCCCUGACAGACCUCUUCUAUUUGAAUCCCCACUACCGAAAUCUCGAUCCCAUUGGAGUAUGGAGAUCUUAGCCAGGCAUUCAAGGAACAAGCUUUUUCACUGCCACAACACUACAAUUGCACCAUAGAACUCUUUCCCGGCGCCAUCUUGCCUUCCAGCUGACUGUACAACCUUUCCCGACCGGAAUGCGAAGCUAUGGAGACCUAUAUCACAGACUCCCUUGCUGCCGUCAUUGUGUUCUCCCCCGUGGGAGCGGGGUUCUUCCUCGUGGCCAAGACGGACAAGACGAGUCUCCAGCCUUGCAUUGACUACCGAGGUUUAAACCAGACCACCACACGGAAUAAGUACCCACUACCCCUGCUCAGAUAUGCCUUUGACUCCCUACUCGAUACCAAUGCUAAUCACUUUGUUCGGAUAUGACAGGAGGAUGACUGGAAAACUGCUUUCAACACCCCCUGGGACACUUUGAGUACCUGGUUAUGCCAUUCGGACUUGCACCACCCAUUUAAAAUGAUUUAGUGAACGACGUGCUCAGAGAUUUUCUCAACCGGUUUGUGUUUGUCUACAUUCUCAUAUACUACUUGAAUCUACAGGAAUAUAGUCACCAUAUCCGUCAAGUCCUCUAGUGCUUACUGGAGAACUCUACAUCAAGAAGUUUGAAUUUCACACCUCAGUACAAUUUCUGGAUUUUAUCACUGAGGGUCAGAUUUGCAAGGACCUGGUUAUAGCAGUUCUAGAGUGGCCGAUCCCCUCUAACCGAAAUAAGCUUGUUUUUGCACAUUUCUACCCCCGGAGUUAGGGGCAUCGCCGUCUGGCUGUAGACGGCGUUGCCCCUAAGUCUACUCACCUCCCCUAAGGUAGAUUUUCCCACCGUGGGAUAAGACAAACCAACUGGCUCCGCCGCUCCUUCUGGUAGCCGUUUUUGGACAAACAUUACUCAUGUGGAACAAGCUAAGACGUAGGCUUGAGUGUCGAGCCUACGUCUUCAGCCUAGUUUAUGCUUCUGCGUUUUCAGAGCGACGCAGAAGCAAGAGCCCCUUGCAUGCCAUUUCACACCUCCUUGCGUGCGUCGACCGAUUUUUCUAGGCUUGCGUCGCUUUCAAUUUUCGAAUUAGGGGUUAGGUGUCUUGCUCGGGGACACUUCGACUUGAGACAUGGGGCAGCUGGGACUCAAACCAUCACCCUUGAGGUUCCCAGCGCACUCGCUCUCCCCCUGCGCCACGAUGACCCACCCCAAGUCUGAUAGACUGACAAACAAGGCCUGGAGGAAUAGUGCUUAUAUGUUGCCAGGAGAUCAUGGAUGACACGUAUGUCGGCCAGUUGACGAUCGGCUUGAUCCUCUGCAGCUGUCCACCAAUCAGAGGCGUGAACAUAGGGUGCCGUCCCGAGGGUGGCAGAGGAAAAAAGCACACAACACAUGGUAUGACAAACGGGAAUGACAGAACACACGAGGAGAGUCAAUCGGGGAAAACAAACAAACAAACAAACACACAAUGAAUUAGACAAGGAUCCUAAUAAUACUGCAAUCUAGUCAUCAGAAUAUGCCAGACAAUGUGCUUCACAGAAUUCUAUUAGCGCUGCCUUCAGAUUGAUGCAUGAAAACAAGAUAUUGCAUGAGAAACAACAAUUUGAUGAUUAUCUCAGGUUAUUUAUUCAGGAGUUUUAAGGAUAUUGAAUAAUUCAUUUAUAUACCCUUAAAUGGCUGAUAGUUUGUUGUCUCUAUUCAGGACUGACAAAAUUUAUACCAUAACAUGCACCAAUUGUUUGUCAGAUAUCAGCCGACUAUGCAAAUAGAUUUCUCUCUAAUAAAAAAAAAAGAUCUUUAGCAUUAUAACAUAAUACCAACACCAUUUCUCAUAACCUUAGACUUAGAACAACAACUCAACAGAAGAGGCCAUAGCUCAUAUAGUUAUCUAACCCUUAAGGUUACAGAAGCAACAUGACCUCCCAAUCAAAGGACAAAACAUUUUGUUAGCUGUGACCCCCAGUGUACAAACUGAACUGAACAACUCUGUUUUCACUACGCUCUCAUACACAUAUCAUAUUAUUGACCUGGUAUAAAGACUUGAUGCUUGUGGUCCUCAGAGGACAUAUUGCUGGUUAUUUCUUGACUUACUAAAUAAUUAACUUCUCGUCAUCCUUUUUCUUUGGCUGUUUCUUCUGUCACUCUGGAGACAGAACACAUGUCUCCAUAGAUUUUUACAAUGAGAAUAUUUAAAGGAAACCGCAUGAAUAAAUCAAUGCCCUACAACGGGAUGUACUUAUCAGUAGCCAGAGCUUGUGACAGACAACUGGAUCAAACCCAGGUAGCCUCUGGUUUAGGUAUAUCCUACUUGACUGGGACUGUAAGUCUAGCAGAAUCUUUCACCUUAAUGUCUCUGGUAAACAGUAAAAAAAGUCUACUCUUUAUAUGAUAUUUUUUUAGCAUUUAGUCAACACUGCUAUACUUUUGGUAUAGUCUGAGCUUGGGCUUUAGGACUUCAGGCCUCUGUAGGAACAUAUUGAAGUAUAUCUGGUGAGUGUUCGUUUAGUGUAGUGUUUUUCAUUUCAACCAUUUGACCUCUUACUUUCCAUUUCUUGUGGCCAAGUAACAGAAGUGCGAGCCUUAGAUUGAAACGAAGACGAAGAAGUGCUAUCAGCCAAUCAGUAGUGCAAAGAGCUUUAUUCUGAUGUGUUUAGAAAACAUGAUUUUCAAUUUAAAACAUAAGGUUGGCAACUGAAACGACUUAUAUAAACCUGAAAUAAGAGAGCUUGCAAUGAUGGUUAAAAUAAAUCAACCACGAUGUUGGAAAGUCAAGUCAGUUUCAUAGUGCCAUACACAAAUGUGUUAGUUCUUCUUCUGAAGCAGGACUGUCAUUAUUGACUCGGCCACAAGAGGCUGUUUGUCAAGGUCAUUAUAAGUUAGCAACAUGGAUGUUCAGAUUGUUGAGUAUGAUGAUGGAAGUUACAGUUUUAAAAAUUACUCCGGCUUUCCUCGUCCCAACUGUCGGUCUGUCCGUUAACCAACGUGGUAUACCAGCUCUGGGUUUAAUUGGUUUCCACCCUAUGAGAUGUUGUUAAUAUCCUGUUUUUCUGCUACGCCCUCAAAGAGAUUACAAUAUAUCACUGUGGUUCUUGAAGGAAAUUUAGUUAGUGGGAUUUAUCAACCUCCGAUUAAGGCAUACUAAUACUGAUUGAAUUCUGCCGGCUCUGGUUUUGGCUUUUUUGGGCUUUUGUCCCUCCGUCUGUCCAGCCGCAUCUCUGCUACACUUCAACCACGACUCCAUUGUUUGUGUUUUCAUCAUGGCAGUGAUUGACAGGUGAUAACAGGAGGCGUGUACAAAAUUGGGUCAAACGAUCCGGGUAUGGUGGAUAAUUAAAUUGAAUAGCCUACUAAAAAUAUAAUUCAGUUCAUGAAGUUUCAUAAUUGUUCAAUGAAAUAUGACAACCUUUUAAUGGAGUUGAAUAGCUGAUCAUUUUAAAUGUAUAUAUAUAUAUAUAUAUAUAUAUAUAUAUAUAUAUAUUACACCCUGCCCCACGGAAUAACAUCCUGCCACAAUGUUAAGUUAAAGCUGGGGGAAGGACGCAUAGGCCUUCCUUGAAAGAUUUUUUUCUCCUGUUAGGGCAAAAGAUGUAAAACAGCCGUGAGAAGGUUAAGGUUAAGAGUUAAAGAUAAUGGUUAAAAUAUAAUGAACUGUUAUGAUUUAAGAUGUAGUAUUAUUGAAUUGUAUUAGCUGUUAGCAUACAUAAUAUUGCUAUCAUCUAUGUAAGGGCUUAUUCACAACUUUCACGCUUUGAUCCUAAGGUAUAUUCAUUGAAUGUAUUUGGAUGUUGAAACACAGAGAGGCAGAGGUUUCAGGCUGCAGAUAUUGGGGAGCUGGGAGCCACAGGGAUCUCGACUCAAAAGAAGACUCAAUGUGAGGUAAUCAGCUUUAGAAAACAAAACAAACAGACCUGUGAACAAAAACAGGUCGAAACACAGGAAGUCACACUGGGGUAAAUCACUGGUAAGCUCAUUGACUUACCAGAGACAAACUGGCACAGAACAAGUAGUAGAGACAGACUAAAUACACGGGGAAUGAGACAAACGUGGAAACAAUGAGGGCGGGGCUUGCAAUCACAGAGGAGGGCGUCACACAAGGAGGGAGGUGUCUGAAACAAGAGGCAAAGUGAAUCACAGAAAAUACAACAGACAGUGACCAGAAAAACUACUCAGAAGGCCUGGGUGUUACAGUGGAAUGCAGAGGACAACGGUGGAGGAGCCGCGUUUGAAUGUGCAGCCAAUCACAUACGGUUGCACACAAAGGACACACCAGUGGCGUUUCUAAAGAAGGACCGUUAGAAUCUUUGUAGGUCGCUUCAGACUUGGACUGAGGAUUCUCUAUUAUGCAAAAUAUUGUUCUAUUCACAUUGCAUUUCACUUUGUAACUGUAUUGCGUCUGUUAAUUAUUAAAUUAUUUUUGAUUUUUAAACUCGAGCCAGUUGACUCCCUUUGACUACUUAAUCUCCGGCCGGGGCGAAGGGGAAAGAGCAUUCCUUGAUCUGAGGUUCAGAACUUCACAGUACAUAAUAUAACAUGCAUUAUUAGAGACCUAAAUGAUGACUUGUUUGGUAAGGAUAUUGGUUAUUGUCUCAAAAUAAAUACAGUAAUAACGUAUUCAGGGUAUUAAUAAACCAGGAUGAUAUCAUCGAUCUUGAUGCUGUUGAAAAGACCAUGACAAAAACAGCACAAAAGUUGUUGUUGUUGUUGACAACAAAAUGCAAUCAAAGUCAUAUAAGAGAGACAUCAAAAUAAAAAUGUACAAACAUAAAGUACAUGGACCUCUACGCUGUCUCAGCAUAGAGGUAACAAUGACAGACAAUAAUAUUAUUUAUUAUUAUUAUUAUAUUAUAAUAAAUGACACGUAAUAAUGACAGAACCAGUCUGCCUGUAUGCCAGUAUUUCCUUCUUCGUAAUCCCAUAGUAUCAUUUGAGUCAAUCAGAGCUUAUUCUAAAGGCUGCGGUAGGACACUAGGACUUUAUUUCAAGAUGGAGGCGUGGCAUUAUUAUUCAUAUUAAAUAAUAAAACAAUUGUAGAUAUUUCUAAAGAACAAUAUCAGUGGUCAAUCUUUAAUUCAUCAAAGGUUCAAUUUCAAAUUGAUAUUCCUCUUACAGUUAGUAUCAUGUAGUAAAAGUGUGAGUGGCUGCUAGACAGCAGAUAUUCAUCUACUGGGAGAACAGCUUAAUAUCAAAAUGUAUAUGAGAGGAACUGAGAAAAACCUGUAGAGAUGACUGCUUUCAAGCAGCUAAGCUAUUUCUGACUGAAACAUGUCAAUAACGGGAAAGGUUAUGUACGUUCUGCUUUAUUGCCGCUUUAAAAAGAAAUUGCCUUUUUUGACUAAAUAGGGCUUUCUUUUUUACAGUUCUCCUUAUCUGUGCUCUGGGAUAGGAUAUGGCAUUGAUUUAAAACACUCAAGGCCCAUAAUCUGUUUUUUGGCCUCUGCUCUGAAAAUAGGCAUACCCAUGAUAAAAAGUGUCAUAUCUCUGGAACUACUUUGUCCAUCUGGAAAAAAAAUGUCAGGUACCCCUGAGAGUGUUCUGAUGCAUAAAAAUUAGUUGUAUGUUCCUGGU